AAAACGGUCCCACCCUUUCCUAAAAGCACACGAGUGUGUAUAUAGGCUGCUACCAACAGCUCACAUACACCCUGAAUAGGAAGCACAUCUCUCUGACGGACACAAUCUUUUUUUUGAAGGAGGAUAUCGCUUGCUGGACUUACAGAAGUGCAACAAGAUCGGUCAUUGUUAUCUGUGGAGAAACAUGGGAAACGAGAACUCCAAGAACAAAGAACUGCAGAACAGGAACGGCAGGAUUCCUGAGAAGCAUAUAAAUGGAUCAGCGAACGGCCUCUCUGCGAACCUCUCAUCUAACGGCUUGGAGAUUUCUGCUAACGACGGUAAAGCUGCUGACGCUCCAGUUAUUUCUGAAAUCCUUGAAAUCGUCAUCCACAAGGAAGAGGUCAGGGAAAGUGAAGGAGAUCAAACGGAUGUUAGUCUCCCUGCCACCAAUCUACAGACGGAGUCAACCUCAAGUGGAGAAGAAGCAGCCGCAGCGAUGAUCGCUGUGCACCUAGACAGCGUAGAGUGUCCGCUUCGAAAAGCUGAAACAUCAACACAAACAGACGGGACAACUGAGGCAGAUAUCUCGACACAAACGUAUAAGAACGAGGAAGUCGCAACCACCGAUAACGAGGUUCCUGUUGAAGAAGCAGUCUCCAUGGAGACUGGAUCAACUGAAGAAGACCCUCUAAAUGUGUCGGCCCGCGUCAUUGUUCAGGAUGACGGGGAGUCCUCCGACAACCAGGCCGCUCGGACCAUCAAUGAGGGGGUGGUCAUGUAUGAAAAUAUGGUGUUCAGACUGGAACGGGCAGAACUUGAUGGAACUGAGUCAAACAUCACUGCAGAACCAGGUUUUAACCCAAAAGUAUCCGAGAUUGAAGAGGAAACAGUUGCAGAGGAAAAUAACAUUGGAGAAACAUCGGCAUCGGAGGUCUAUUACAGCUUUCCUAAAGUGGUGGCAGAUUGUGUUGAGGUGGUUUUUGCGGAUGCGCCUCAGUCCACCGGCUUUGCUGCUGUGGACUCGUCAGUGCUUGCAGACGGAGUAGCUACUGGAGACAAUGGCGAAGGAGCUGGACACACGUCAGUCGAUGCCGUGCAGACUGAAACCGCCAAACAUCAGUCCACUGAGGCCCGGAAAGCAAAUGCCGUUCGUUCCUCAGCCACCGCGCUGAUGGAGACAAUCUCUGAGGUUGUUUGCGAGGCACCUGAUCCCGCACCAGCAGACCACGAUGCGCCCGCAGAGCAUUCUUCUGCCCGUCUUGCAGUAGCACUUCUAGUUAAGGCAGAAUCUGCCCAUGAGGAGGUCACCGCUGAUGAUGCUGUUGCAACGGAGAUUGUACCAGAAACACCUCAACAAGCAAAACUGGACGACGAGCCCUCAGAGAAGUGCGAUAGUUGCCCUGAGCAUGACAUCAUCACUGCAGAGGCUCCCAAUAAGCCUGCCAUCAUUGAGGAGCUUCCCGUGGAACCAGAAAGAUAUGAAGAAGCAGAACCAAGUCCCGUACUUGCCAAAGACAGUGCUGAGGCAAUGUGGGAAGCGGCAAUCAAUGCCCUCUCUGAAGACUUCAGAGAAGAAUCUAGCAGCCUGCCUCGGGAGGCUGCAGCGGCCAAAGGCUUACCUCUGAUAGAGGAGGUGAUCACCGCGUCAACUUUUGCAGGCCUUCCAGGGGGCCAAGAAGCAAGCAUUGCUGUUGCAGAGGAGCUUUUUAAGAGGGUCACUGCAGAGGCUUUAUCAAAUGCAACUGAAACAGUAGCAGAAGACGCCACAAACACUGGUGAGGAGCCUGCAGAUGUGCCGCCGAUGGACGCCACGGGAGAGCCCGAGCUUUGCGUUUCGGUCCAAGAGAGACUCAGAGACGAGAACGUCGCCCCGGCAGAAGUACCAGCCAAUUCCAGGAGUUUGAGCCAUCUCGAGCGCCGACCAAAGUCCAGCGCGCAGAUCGUCGCCAUGGAGACAAUUGAAGACGGGGCUGUGAGACAGAUAAUGCAUGAAACAGAUACUUCUGCGGUGGAUGUCUCCCAGAUUACCACUUUGGAUGAGGCUAUGUCAGAGAGUUUCGACGCUGUCCUUGAGGCCAUUGUGGAAGAAAUCAUUAACGAGGACGUCUUCUCAGCUGACGGCCGCCUCGUGACUUCAGACGAGGUGUCACCAGAGGCCUUUGUAGAGGAAGACGCUGAAGAGGAUGCAGAGAAGGAAUCAAGUGUGAACUCAUCAGAUCCAACAGUGGACUCACAAAGUGUCACAAGAACAGACAUGGAAGCUUUAGCUGUUAGUUUGCAGUCGGCGUGUAAAUCAGUUGUUGAAGAAUCGACAAAUAGGCCUGGUAGUUUAAUGCUUCCUUCACUAGGAUACAGUAUCACGGUUACUGUUCAUGUGGCGCCAAAGCAGUAAAAUCCUUGUCUGAACUUUUUUGUUGAAAAUGAUUGGUCUGCCUCCAGGAUGUAAUGUGUUAAAUGAUUGAUGCGAAAGUAAUUACAACCCAAUUGUAAAAUUAUUUGUGUUUUAUCAUAACAAGCAAGUCCCUCUGUUUUUUUAUGCUUUAUUAACACUUGCUGAUUUUCCAAUAAAAUGAAAAAUGAAACCGUUCAUGAUUUUCUUCAUCAUCUGUUUGCAUUCCUUUGGUCGGUGUCAGGUGACAAAUAAUACCUACUUUCAAAAAAGUAGGGCCACUAAUGACUUUGAAAAACAAUGAAUUAGACAUUUGAACGUUAGCAGAUUCACUAAUGAUCUUUAAAUCAGAGUUGGUCAACGAUAACCCAGCAUCAAAACCCAGCAAAGGUAUUUGCGUUUCCUGACAUUCUUUUCUCCGGGCAAAACUCUCACACAUUGUUGAAUAUCAAUGAGUGAGGGGUGGGACACACGCAUUGAUAAAAGGCCGAUUGUUGACAGUGCCCCGAGUAGGCAGAGGCAUGGUUGGAAUUGUGUACUCCCAUCUCAAUGCUGCGAUUAAGACCCUCACUGCUUGCAUUAUAAGCCACGCUGCUCUAACGCAAUACUCAAAGGCUAAUUCUUUGUGAUGGUGUAUAGGAGACAGCUAAGCAAAAGCAAGGGUCAGAAUCAUUGACGGAGCCAGAGAGUGUGACUCUAGACUCUGACGAGGGAAACCAGGAGGACAAUAACCCAGAAGAGAAUCCAGUUAUGAACUUCUUCAAAUCUCUAACGACUUCCAAAAUAACCAAAAAGGAAACAGCUGCUCCUGUUGCCAUAAAAGACCAGUCCCAGAAGGAGAACCAACCAGCAGCAACCACUACCGUCGCACAAGUAUCUGAGCCGCCUGCAGCGCCCAAAGGAAUGUCUAUCCCACCGCCACCUCCUCCAGAGCCACCAAAAAUGGAUAUCAAGGCAGAACCAGCUGCUAAACCUGUCAAGGCCACACCAAGAGAAGAAGCAAAAGCUGUUGCCAAGCAACCCCAGUCCUCCAAAGGAAAAUCAGCAACUCUAAGCAAAUUUUUCCGUUCAAAGAAGGUGGAUUCUUCAAAAGCUGGCACUUUGGAGGCUGCAGCGAAACCAGAACCGCCGCCGCCUGUGCAGGAAGCACAGAAAACUGCCUCAACAUCCUCCUUCUUUUCUCUCUUCAAGCCUAAAGCCGCUGAUCCCAAAAAGGCGAGUCCUGCCCCGGCUGCAGCCCCAGAGACAGUGAAAGCCAAGGAGGAACCCAAAGCAGCAGCCAAGUUAUCCGAGGCCGUGGUAGAUAAUAAACCUGCUUCAGUGGCCUCCCAGGCCGCAGGUGAUGCAGCCAAGGCGCCAAAGAAACUGGAGAAGAGGAACUCCAUCCAUCAGUUCUUUAAAAUUCUGGGCCAGAAGCGUAACUCGACAGAUGCCGGGAUCCAGACAGAGACGCUCGCUGUCGCUCCGGUACCCGAGAAGGUCAAAUGAAACCAAAAGCGAGAGUGAAGUUUCCCUGUACAGACUCCUUCUCUUUUUCUUGCCCUUACUCGGUUUUCAUGUGCCUCAUCUGUCUCAUUAUUCUUUAAACUCUUAUAGAAUUGCUUUAACUACAUUUUGAUUUUGUUAUUGUUCAUAAGUUACAAUACGCACGGAAUAGUGAGCGGAAAGGCAAAGGCAAGUAGUGAGAAAGACACACAGCAGGUAGUUGCACAAGUGGUGAUUUGAAAUGGUCCAUGGUGAGGUUGUUGAGAUAUUUACAGUAUAUACAGUACAUAUUGUGUUUGGACCCUGUGCCUUGACAAGUAUAGCAAAAUCAGUGUGAAAUCUUUUCUACAGACAUUUAAUGUAACUUCUCUCUGUUCUUGCACAUGAAACAGAAGGUAAAAGGCAUCGCUUUUAGCUUUGUGUUUGUCAAAAAAAAACAUUUAAAAAAGGUUCUAUUUUUUACAGUUCACACAAAAGAAAAUCACGCAGCUGUGGCCGUGCAGAGGUUCCCACGAAAUUGCAUCGCACUUAAAUCCAUAUGUGAUAUAUUAACAUUAACAGCUCUGAAAAGAGCAAAUAAGAAGAGCAUCUUAGUGUAACAAGAAGCACUUAGCAGUCAAGUAUCUGUAUCGAGGGUGAUGGGGAACUGGCUAUAUGCGUAAAAAAAUGCAUCUGAGAGAUGUGUCUUUGUGCUACGUUUUUACUAAUGACUCACAGUUGAUUAGUUUUACAUUUGAACUUUGUCUCAUGUAACUCAGUGGAAGUCUUGUAGCGUCAGUCAGCAAUUAACAUCACGCUUUUGGUGGCCUUGCUUGAUGUAUGCAUGUGUGUGCGUGUGUGUAACUUCAGCUAUCCUGAAGACAAUAAACCUGUUUAUCAUUCGUUGUAUCUUCAUGUGUGUACGCGGCAACUGAGAAACCCCGUGAAGAAUAACCGGCUGUUGCAUUCGGCAUCUGCCAAAAUAUGCACCUCAGUAAGUUUGGCAAAAAAAAAUAAAAAAUCACACAUCAAAUCUUAUAAUAAAUAUUUUAAUUCACACUAAACUAAACUCAUAAGGCGUGACACAUGAGUCCUACCUUGGGCGUCGGUGGAAAUACUGCCAGCCUUACUCACCCAUGGGUUUAUUUUGUUGGCUGAAAAACAAGUGACGGUGAUGACGGGCAGGGCCGUACAAACCAAAACUCACCUCAGAGCCGCCCGCCGUCCGCCCGCCCGCCUGAUGGACGGAGAGCCGUCUGCGGUCCGUCACUACCAAAUAUUACAUUCAGAGACACCUUAGAGAUAAAAAGAUGUUAAACGAGAUCUAAGGAAUUGUUUCAGGUAAAGCAAAGCCUCCCAUACUCUAUUUUCAUUUAUGAGGUAAUUCCAAUGAUGGAG
Molecule: long non-coding RNA, 5233 nt
Organism: Gasterosteus aculeatus aculeatus (three-spined stickleback)
Lineage: Eukaryota; Metazoa; Chordata; Actinopteri; Perciformes; Gasterosteidae
Source: Ensembl